GGAAAACGAAGUCAUCUAAGUCUUAUUCGGAGAUAUUGGAAAACGAAGUCCAUCUAAGUCUUAUUCGGAGAUUUUUGGAAAACGAAGUCCAUCUAAGUCUUAUUCGGAGAUUAUUGGAAAACGAAGUCCAUUUGAAGUGAGAUGUCCAGCUGAUGUGACUGAAAUCACUACACUAACCAGACGUCACUGUGUAAAGUCAAGUC
Molecule: long non-coding RNA, 203 nt
Organism: Octopus sinensis (East Asian common octopus)
Lineage: Eukaryota; Metazoa; Mollusca; Cephalopoda; Octopoda; Octopodidae
Exons: 2
Source: RefSeq, a predicted model, not a curated record